UACAGAGGUCCCAAGCGUUGUUCGGAUUCACUGGGCGUAAAGGGCUCGUAGGCGGUUUGUCACGUCGGGAGUGAAAACUCGGGGCUUAACCCCGAGCCUGCUUCCGAUACGGGCUGACUAGAGGUAUGCAGGGGAGAACGGAAUUCCUGGUGUAGCGGUGAAAUGCGCAGAUAUCAGGAGGAACACCGGUGGCGAAGGCGGUUCUCUGGGCAUUACCUGACGCUGAGGAGCGAAAGUGUGGGGAGCGAACAGG
RNAcentral lists this ribosomal RNA (253 nucleotides) under uncultured bacterium. RNAcentral's name for it is "partial 16S ribosomal RNA". It matches the Rfam family "Bacterial small subunit ribosomal RNA", at positions 524 to 776 of the family's 1533-position model. The record is from RNAcentral.